AUACGGAGGGUGCAAGCGUUAUUCGGAAUCACUGGGCGUAAAGGACGCGUAGGCGGGUUGGCAAGUCAGAUGUGAAAUCCUACAGCUUAACUGUAGAACUGCAUUUGAAACUGCUAACCUAGAGUAUGGGAGGGGGAGAUGGAAUUAGUGGUGUAGGGGUAAAAUCCGUAGAUAUCACUAGGAAUACCGAAAGCGAAGGCGAUCUCCUGGAACAUAACUGACGCUAAGGCGUGAAAGCGUGGGGAGCAAACAGGAUUAGAUACCCUGGUAGUCC
This 274-nucleotide ribosomal RNA is filed under the name uncultured bacterium. RNAcentral describes it as "partial 16S ribosomal RNA". It matches the Rfam family "Bacterial small subunit ribosomal RNA", at positions 523 to 796 of the family's 1533-position model. The record is from RNAcentral.